RNAcentral lists this ribosomal RNA (407 nucleotides) under uncultured bacterium. RNAcentral describes it as "bacterial SSU rRNA". It matches the Rfam family "Bacterial small subunit ribosomal RNA", at positions 28 to 419 of the family's 1533-position model. The record is from RNAcentral.
GACGAACGCUGGCGGCGUGCUUAACACAUGCAAGUCGAGCGGUAAGGCCCUUUCGGGGGUACACGAGCGGCGAACGGGUGAGUAACACGUAGGUAAUCUACCUUCGGGUGGGGAAUAACGUCUCGAAAGAGACGCUAAUACCGCAUAAUGCAGCGGCACCUAAUGGUGAUUAGUUGUUAAAGCGGGGGAGUCUUCGGACCUCGCGCCUGAAGAGGAGCCUGCGGCAGAUUAGCUAGUUGGUGAGGUAAUGGCUCACCAAGGCUUCGAUCUGUAGCUGGUCUGAGAGGACGGCCAGCCACACUGGCACUGACACACGGGCCAGACUCCUACGGGAGGCAGCAGUGGGGAAUUUUGGACAAUGGGCGCAAGCCUGAUCCAGCCAUGCCGCGUGCGGGAAGAAGGCCUGG